This 494-nucleotide ribosomal RNA is filed under the name uncultured bacterium. RNAcentral's name for it is "partial 16S ribosomal RNA". It matches the Rfam family "Bacterial small subunit ribosomal RNA", at positions 28 to 507 of the family's 1533-position model. The record is from RNAcentral.
GACGAACGCUGGCGGCGUGCUUAACACAUGCAAGUCGAACGGUGAAGCGCCUUCCUUUUUGGUGGGUGUGGAUGAGUGGCGAACGGGUGAGUAACACGUGAGUAACCUGCCCCCUUCUUCUGGAUAACCGCAUGAAAGUGUGGCUAAUACGGGAUAUUCUGGGUCUGUCGCAGGAUGGGUAUGGGAAAGAUGUUGUGUCGGUGGGGGAUGGGCUCGCGGCCUAUCAGCUUGUUGGGGGGGUGAUGGCCUACCAAGGCGGUGACGGGUAGCCGGCCUGAGAGGGUGGACGGUCACACGGGGACUGAGGCACGGUCCAGACUGCUACGGGAGGCAGCAGUGGGGAGGAGUGCACAAUGGGCGCAAGCCUGAUGCAGCGACGCCGCGUGAGGGAUGGAGGCCUUCGGGUUGUGAACCUCUUUCGCCAGUGAAGCAGGCCUGCCUCGUUUGUGGGUGGGUUGACGGUAGCUGGAUAAGAAGCGCCGGCUAACUACGUG